RNAcentral lists this ribosomal RNA (144 nucleotides) under uncultured soil bacterium. RNAcentral describes it as "partial 16S ribosomal RNA". It matches the Rfam family "Bacterial small subunit ribosomal RNA", at positions 32 to 171 of the family's 1533-position model. The record is from RNAcentral.
AAUCAACGCUGGCGGCGUGCCUAACACAUACAAGUCGAACGCGAAAGUCCCGCAAGGGAUCAGUAGAGUGGCAAACGGGUGAGUAACGCGUGGGUGACCUGCCUUCGAGCGGGGGAUAACGUUCCGAAAGGGGCGCUAAUACCG